CCGGCGCGGGGAAAAGAGGGGGAGGGAGGGACAGGUAACGCGCCCUGUCCUGCAGCCCGAGCCGCUCCGCGAGGGUGUCGCUCUGGGGGCCGAGAAGGCCAGCGCUGCUCCCCAGCUGGGCUCAGGUGUGUUUCUUAAGGAUUGGACGCAAGGAGCGUCUCGCACUGCUCUCGUUCCCCGCCCAGCUUGCUAGCACGAAAGGGAAGAGCGUCCUUCGGAACACCCCAACUUUGCGGCCGCCUUCGCCUUAUUUCUCCUGCCUGAAAAGCAGGUGGCCUCUGACCGCCGACCCCGCGACUCUUUAGGUUCGAGUUACAGACGACAGAUCGUAGCCCUGGAAAGUUCCUUGCGGACUCAACUGCUGGCAAUAAGGAGCGCGCCGGAAGGAGGGGUGCAUUUGAACCCUUUGCCCUGUGGCUCGCUUGCGACGCCAGGCUCGAUAAACUCGCCCGCUGCAAUCCUGCUACUUGCCCAAAUUCUUUACUACAAGAGGGGCGCCGAGCGGCGCAAAGUAUUCUGGCUUUCGAGCUGAAGGCGCAGUUCUCCCGCGCAGCGCUUCUGUAUCUCUUUUGCGCCCGCUCGUGGGGUCGCUUGGCAGACGGCCUUCCAACCCCUGUCACUGGGGGCUUCAUGGGCGGCGCGGUUGGGUUCGGUUGCCGGGCCCAAACGGGCCAAGAAUUCAUUGGAAGGGAGGCCCGCGACAAAGUUUGGAGCCGAGUCCUGAAAUUAAAAGGACGCGCUAGCGCGGCAGGUCUCGCUUUAUAAAAACCAAUCGCUACGUUCUUAGCCUGUAGCCGGCUGUGUGUAAUAUCAUAGAGCUACAGCGCCCACUAGCGGAGGCGAUGAAAACCGCUGCUUAUUUUACCUUCGUUUUGGCGAUCUUCGGAAAACUUCGCCUUGAAGUCAAACUGGAGUUUUGUUGUUUUUGUUGUUGAAAUCAUCGUCGUUGUUAACGGGACUUUUUAAGAGAUUGAAUCCGUUUAGGAAUUAGGGGUGAAAUGCUUGCUUUCGAUCUGAACUGUCUAAUCGGCAGGUAGCCAAAGUAAACGAGCGCAAAUUAAAAUCUGGCUAAAACUAGAUAUAGCCCAUAUGUUAUGAAUUAUAAACGUUUUAAUUGAAGGUUUGAGUAGUGGAAAGGUAGGAAUUCGAAAUUAUCUAAAAUGAUGUGGAUUUCAAGAAAGAUAAUCAUAAAAAUAAUUUUGCGGCGAUAUUAGAAGAAUAUGUGAUACCUCAAGUAUACGAUUAGACAUUAAAGCUUUGUUCGAAAAAUACCUAUUUAAAAAUAAAUGCAAUGACGUAAAAAAGAAAUUAUUUCGGACUGAGAAGCAGAAAACACUUUUAAAUAUUGGCUUAACCACAGGGAACAAAGCGGCUAGAAAAUAAAUGUCAAAUCUACGCAGAAUUUUAUUCUCCUCCCAUUAUUAAAACUUAGCGUUUUUGCGCUUAAACAAAAUGAUACCAGGAAAUCAUCACAACCGGAGCGGAUUAAUAAUUUCAGGAGAAAACUGGGUUUAAAUUUCUGGGAUUUUUACUCGUUUAUUUAGAGGAGGAAAUUCUUUUUAAAAAAAAAAAAAAAAAAAGCCGAGUGAAAGUCCCACUUGCAAAACCGAGUGACUCCGAUUUCGCAGCUCCAGGUUUGGCACCGUCUCCCGCAGUCACCGAAAUGGGGUGGCUGGAAUCUGCUCUUUCCUGGGACACUCGCACAAAAUUGACGUCCUCGAAGUGGACUGAUUCGAUGUCCCUGACCAACCCAAAUAGUUUCUCGGGGGGAGGACGAUCCUCUGUGCCCCCCUGGAGUUCAGUGCUGCAAAACCAAGCCCCAGAUGCGAAGAGAAGCAGAAGAGCGGGAAGGUGUGGGGAAGGGAGACAAGCUUUGUACUUCGGAAGACGGUGCCUGGAAAUUCGGCGUUCCUCCCCUGUCCCGAUCUAUUGGAUCCGAUCUAAUUUGCUGAGCUGGACAACCGAUACCGAGGUGGCUCCAGGAGUCCUUUGGCCGUUGUGGAGCAGCGGUGCGACAAGGCCCAGGAACUCUGCUCAGGAUUGGCAGGACGUGGGGGAGGGGAGGGCAGGUGUGUACUCAGCGAUCCUAGAUGGGGGUGGCGGUUCUUGGAAGAGUCGCUCCGCAGCUGCUUGGGCGUCUCGAGGUGGCUUCUCCCGAGGAACCGUGCAGAGGAUCGGCUUUUGGCCCAACCCGCUCAGGGAGCCCAGGCCGAAGUCCUCGAUAGUUGCAGCAAGGGACGGCCCGACGUUCCCAGGUAGGGCGCCCUAGAAGAUACCUAGGAGAAGCAUUUUAAAAACGGAGGGGUGGAUGGGGCUGGUCUUCCCAAACUACGGACUCUCUUCUUUCACGAUUUCGGAGCGCUUUCGCUAAAUCUUCCUUUGAAUAGAUCUGGGUGCGGCUGCCGGGGCCUGGUUGCUGAAUGGCGUGUGAGCGAAAGCUUGAGAAGGACGGAAUCACUUCCUUGGCCACUUCACUUCUUUUUCGGACGUCCCCCCUCCCUUCCUCAGCGACAGCACAAAUGAACUCUUAAGGUUUGCGCAUUUCAAGGCGCCUCGAUCAGAAACGCGGGAAACGGAAGAUUAGAGUUACCGGAUCUGGGCUGCCAAAAAUCCGGUCGACCACUAGAUGGCAGCAGAAACGUCCUGACCACAAUCCCCCGAGCAGAUUUUUGCAGGACCAAGUCUGGCUCAUCACUAGGGCUUAUUGCCAAAGAAAUGGGCGACGGCGAGGAUUGCCUAAAGCUCUGUCCUGGCGGUAGGAAGCGAGAGGGGCCUACCGCUGCGGCUGCCUAGACCGAGAACGGGUGAUUGAUUCUCCAUCCGCUUCGGGAUAAGGAGGCCUGGGCUACUGGCAACAAUUGCUCUGAUUUCUCUAGCCUAGAAGCGAGCGAAGGGAUCGAGCCCGCCACGCGAGGCCUGCGUGGGGGGGGGGGGGCAGAGGAAGAGAACCGACAAAGGAGCAGCAGCGAAACGGAGAGGCGCGAAGCCUCCAACUUUGGACUUUAAUUUCUAGGUUGGGGAAGCUUCGUGCGCUCUCUCUAAAGCUCGUCUACCUCGCCAAGGUUUUUACGGUACAACAAAAAAGGUCUGACGAGAUCCAGCCGGAUUGAGGAGUAUAAAAAGAGGAAGACGGUUUGAACAAAUUGACUUGUGAGCGGCAACCAGCUUUUUCUUUUGCAAAACUACUCCCUCUGGGAACAAAGGGCAAUUAGCUUAGGGCAGGUCUCCCUUUUAAGGAGAGAGGAAGGUCUUGUCCUAAGGGAAAAGCACCGUUUUGGGGAGUGGGGGUGUUUCCCCCUCCCCAUUUGGAUAUAUUCAAUCUUCUGGAUCUUUGAAAGUCUCUUGUGGUUUAAAUUGGAAAUAAAAUCUCUGCCUUGGUGACAAUAA
RNA transcript from Crotalus tigris (Tiger rattlesnake), 3387 nucleotides. RefSeq lists it as uncharacterized. The record is from RefSeq and is a predicted model, not a curated record. NCBI's taxonomy places the organism in Eukaryota, Metazoa, Chordata, Lepidosauria, Squamata, Viperidae. The transcript has 3 exons.